CAUAUCGGUAUAUCCUACGGGAGGCAGCAGUGAGGAAUAUUGGUCAAUGGGCGCAAGCCUGAACCAGCCAUCCCGCGUGAAGGAUGAAGGCCCUAUGGGUCGUAAACUUCUUUUAUACACCAAGAAAAAGCAGGACGUGUCCUGCCCCGACGGUAGUGUAUGAAUAAGCAUCGGCUAACUCCGUGCCAGCAGCCGCGGUAAUACGGAGGAUGCGAGCGUUAUCCGGAUUCAUUGGGUUUAAAGGGUGCGUAGGCGGCUUUUUAAGUCAGUGGUGAAAUCUUGCCGCUUAACGGUAAAAUUGCCAUUGAUACUGAUAAGCUUGAGUACAAUUGAGGUAAGCGGAAUGUGUAGUGUAGCGGUGAAAUGCUUAGAUAUUACACAGAACACCGAUUGCGAAGGCAGCUUACUAAACUGUUACUGACGCUGAUGCACGAAAGCGUGGGGAGCGAACAGGAUUAGAUACCCUGGUAGUCCACGCCGUAAACGAUGAUCACUCGCUGUAUGCGAUACACAGUAUGCGGCCAAGCGAAAGCAUUAAGUGAUCCACCUGGGGAGUACGAUCGCAAGGUUGAAACUCAAAGGAAUUGACGGGGGCCCGCACAAGCGGAGGAACAUGUGGUUUAAUUUCGAUGAUACGCGAGGAACCUUACCUGGGCUUAAAUGGGGAACGACAGCAGCCGAAAGGUUGCCUUCUUCGGACGUUCUUCAAGGUGCUGCAUGGUUGUCGUCAGCUCGUGCCGUGGAGGUGUCGGGUUAAGUCCCAUAACGAGCGCAACCCUUAUCGUUAGUUGCCAGCGGGUGAUGCCGGGGACUCUAGCGAGACUGCCACCGUAAGGUGUGGAGGAAGGUGGGGAUGACGUCAAAUCAAGCACGGCCCUUAUGUCCAGGGCUACACACGUGUUACAAUGGCAAGUACAAAGGGCAGCUACCUGGUGACAGGAUGCUAAUCUCUAAAGCUUGUCUCAGUUCGGAUCGAAGUCUGCAACCCGACUUCGUGAAGCUGGAUUCGCUAGUAUAUAGGCAUAUCAGCCAUGAUGCGGUGAAUACGUCCCGGGGCUGUACACACCGAUCGAGCACCCGAA
RNAcentral lists this ribosomal RNA (1082 nucleotides) under uncultured Bacteroidota bacterium. Its description in RNAcentral is "bacterial SSU rRNA". It matches the Rfam family "Bacterial small subunit ribosomal RNA", at positions 325 to 1409 of the family's 1533-position model. The record is from RNAcentral. Lineage: Bacteria; Pseudomonadati; Bacteroidota.